Molecule: ribosomal RNA, 253 nt
Filed under: uncultured bacterium
Lineage: Bacteria
Description: partial 16S ribosomal RNA
Rfam family: Bacterial small subunit ribosomal RNA
Source: RNAcentral
UACGUAGGUCCCGAACGUUGCGCGAAUUUACUGGGCGUAAAGGGUCCGUAGGCGGUUUAGCAAGUGGUUGGUGAAAUUUCACGGCUCAACCGUGAAACUGCCUUCCAAACUGCUAAACUUGAGGCAGGGAGAGGUCGGCGGAAUUCCCGGUGGAGCGGUGAAAUGCGUAGAUAUCGGGGGGAACGCCAGUGGCGAAGGCGGCCGACUGGAACUGUCCUGACGGUGAGGGACGAAAGCUAGGGGAGCAAACCGG